GAUGAACGCUGGCGGCGUGCCUAAUACAUGCAAGUCGAGCGAACGGACGAGAAGCUUGCUUUUCUGAUGUUAGCGGCGGACGGGUGAGUAACACGUGGAUAACCUACCUAUAAGACUGGGAUAACUUCGGGAAACCGGAGCUAAUACCGGAUAAUAUUUUGAACCGCAUGGUUCAAAAGUGAAAGACGGUCUUGCUGUCACUUAUAGAUGGAUCCGCGCUGCAUGAGCUAGUUGGUAAGGUAACGGCUUACCAAGGCAACGAUGCAUAGCCGACCUGAGAGGGUGAUCGGCCACACUGGAACUGAGACACGGUCCAGGCUCCUACGGGAGGCAGCAGUAGGGAAUCUUCGGCAAUGGGCGAAAGCCUGACGGAGCAACGCCGCGUGAGUGAUGAAGGUCUUCGGAUCGUAAAACUCUGUUAUUAGGGAAGAACAUAUGUGUAAGUAACUGUGCACAUCUUGACGGUACCUAAUCAGAAAGCCACGGCUAACUACGUG
This 497-nucleotide ribosomal RNA is filed under the name uncultured bacterium. RNAcentral's name for it is "partial 16S ribosomal RNA". It matches the Rfam family "Bacterial small subunit ribosomal RNA", at positions 28 to 507 of the family's 1533-position model. The record is from RNAcentral.